AGGGCACCACCAGGAGUGGAGCCUGCGGCUUAAUUUGACUCAACACGGGGAAACUCACCCGGCCCGGACACCGUAAGGAUUGACAGAUUGAUAGCCCUUUCAUGAUUCGGUGGUUGGUGGUGCAUGGCCGUUCUUAGUUCGUGGAUCGAUUUGUCUGGUUUAUUCCGAUAACGAGCGAGACUCUAGCCUACUAAAUAGUAUCGAGAUUAUUUCUGUCUCAGAUGCUUCUUAGAGGGAUUUUCGGUGUUUAGCCGCACGAGAUUGAGCAAUAACAGGUCUGUGAUGCCCUUAGAUGUCCGGGGCUGCACGCGCGCUACACUGGCGAAAUCAGCGUGCUUUAUCCAUUCUCGAAAGGGAUUGGUAAACCCAUGAAAAUUUGCCGUGCUUGGGAUCGGAAAUUGCAAUUAUUUUCCGUGAACGAGGAAUUCCAAGUAAGUGCGAGUCAUCAACUCGCUCUGAUUACGUCCCUGCCCUUUGUACACACCGCCCGUCGCUGCCCGGGACUGAGCCAUUUCGAGA
Molecule: ribosomal RNA, 519 nt
Filed under: uncultured eukaryote
Lineage: Eukaryota
Description: SSU rRNA
Rfam family: Eukaryotic small subunit ribosomal RNA
Source: RNAcentral